Molecule: ribosomal RNA, 432 nt
Filed under: uncultured bacterium
Lineage: Bacteria
Description: partial 16S ribosomal RNA
Rfam family: Bacterial small subunit ribosomal RNA
Source: RNAcentral
AAUGAACGCUGGCGGCAUGCCUAACACAUGCAAGUCGAACGAGACCUCCGGGUCUAGUCGCGCAUGGGUGUGUAACGCGUGGGAAUCUGCCCUCGGGUUUGGAAUAACAGUUGGAAACGGCUGCUAAUACCGGAUGAUGACGUAAGUCCAAUGAUUUAUCGCCCAAGGGUGAGCGCGCGUAGGAUUAGCUAGUUGGUGAGGUAAAGGCUCUCAAAGGCGACGAUGCUUAGCUGGUAUGAGAGGAUGGUCAGCAACACUGGGACAGAGACACGGCCCGAACUCCUACGGAAGGCAGCAGGGGGGAAUAUGGAACAAUGGGCGAGUGCCUAAGCCAGCAGUGCCGCGUAAGUGAUGAAGGAGUUAGGAUUGUAAGGCUCUUUUACCCGGGAUGAUAAUGACGGUACCAGGAGAAUAAGCUCCGGCAAACUCCGU